GGGGUUGUAGCUCAGUGGCAGAGCACUUGCCUUAUUAAGUGUGAGACCCUGGGUUCAAUCCCCAGCACCACA
This 72-nucleotide transfer RNA is filed under the name Marmota monax (woodchuck). RNAcentral describes it as "tRNA.Undet". It matches the Rfam family "tRNA". Rfam says of the family: Transfer RNA (tRNA) molecules are approximately 80 nucleotides in length. Their secondary structure includes four short double-helical elements and three loops (D, anti-codon, and T loops). Further hydrogen bonds mediate the characteristic L-shaped molecular structure. tRNAs have two regions of fundamental functional importance: the anti-codon, which is responsible for specific mRNA codon recognition, and the 3' end, to which the tRNAs corresponding amino acid is attached (by aminoacyl-tRNA synthetases). tRNAs cope with the degeneracy of the genetic code in two manners: having more than one tRNA (with a specific anti-codon) for a particular amino acid; and 'wobble' base-pairing, i.e. permitting non-standard base-pairing at the 3rd anti-codon position. The record is from RNAcentral. Lineage: Eukaryota; Metazoa; Chordata; Mammalia; Rodentia; Sciuridae.